CCCACUACUUGUCCUCCAGGGAUUGGUGGAGAACGAAUCACCUCACCAUCAUGGUACCGCCCCCUCAUUAGCAUAUUACCGGCCAACUGACACCAGGUGCAAAACCCGCGCAUGCGCAGUACUAUUGUUCACCACAGGAGGGCGCCGGAUCAUACAGCUGCCCUGACAAGGGGAACAAGCCUGCACAUGCGCACUUCCUAUUCCUGCCCCCAUGUUGCGCCUUCCUGCCCUGAAGGAUUCCAAGCACCCCUCCAGCCAUAAGUUAAUCAGUUUAUUGAGCACCUACUAUAGCAAGCACUGUUAUCUAAAGGCUCCUUCAAGAACCUGGCAGCACUGAGAAGACCGUUCAUCAUCCUGAAGCAUCAAGGCAGCACCUACUUGGCACUAGAAGCACCCGGUCUUUGGAAAGGAGCACGUGAGCAAGAGGCCUCGGAACCACAGCGGAAUGGCACCGCAUGGUACUAAGAGGUCAUGCUGAUACUGGCAUUUCACGGGAAAUUAUGCUAUCUUCCUGUUUCUGACAAUCAGAAAGAUCACUGGAGAGGCAGCACAUUUUCUGUCUGUUUUCACUGGAGAAGUGAAAACAAUAGCAAGCGCAUAUUUUGAAGUGAAGCUGUAUUUCACAGACAAAUUGAAGGGAAAAGUGGUUAUGGAAACUUUUCACUCUUUUUGCCUUCCUUGAUUUCUUAUAAUUCAUAAAUAAAAAGAAAGAAAAUUCUAUCCUACCUCUCGAAACAAA
Rattus norvegicus (Norway rat) is the source of this 739-nucleotide non-coding RNA. Lineage: Eukaryota; Metazoa; Chordata; Mammalia; Rodentia; Muridae. The record is from RefSeq and is a predicted model, not a curated record.